CCUUCUUGGAGCGGUGCUUCAGACCUGGCGGGCUGUCUUUUUGGACGGCGCGCCCAAAGCGAGGGGCCUUCUGCGCGAACUAGACUGUGCGCGCGGGGCGGUCGGCGAACUUAUUACCAAG
RNAcentral lists this unclassified non-coding RNA (121 nucleotides) under Pichia fermentans. Its description in RNAcentral is "ITS2". The record is from RNAcentral. Lineage: Eukaryota; Fungi; Ascomycota; Pichiomycetes; Pichiales; Pichiaceae.